Dermochelys coriacea (leatherback sea turtle) is the source of this 10078-nucleotide RNA transcript. It is a transcript of the gene named FHF complex subunit HOOK interacting protein 2A, with no coding region annotated. The record is from RefSeq and is a predicted model, not a curated record. The transcript is spliced from 18 exons. NCBI's taxonomy places the organism in Eukaryota, Metazoa, Chordata, Testudines, Dermochelyidae.
UCAGCAGCCGGCGCCGCAGCGGGCGGGUGUCGGUGCCACGGUGUCUGUCGGGGAGGGAGCGGAGGAGGCUGCCGGGCUGCGCCCCUCGCCCGAUCCCCGCGGCCAGGCCCCCGCAUGCAGCCCUCACCCUGGAGCGGAGGCGGCGGAUCGAGGAGCUCUCGCGAUCCUCCCGGCAGCGGCUGCUGCAGUCCAGGGACAGGAUGUUCUCCAAGCUCACCUCCAUCCUGCAGCACGCCGUGGAGGCGCUUGCGCCAUCCCUUCCGUUGCAAGAAGAUUUUGUUUACCACUGGAAAGCAAUUACCCAUUAUUACAUAGAGACCUCAGAUGACAAAGCUCCUGUGACUGAUACCAACAUUCCUUCUCACCUGGAGCAGAUGUUGGAUAUUCUAGUUCAAGAAGAAAAUGAGAGGGAAUCGGGAGAGACAGGGCCUUGUAUGGAAUAUUUGCUACAUCACAAGAUCUUGGAGACAUUGUACACACUAGGGAAAGCUGAUUGUCCUCCCGGAAUGAAACAGCAAGUUUUGUCUUUCUAUACCAAACUUCUCGGAAGAAUUCGACAACCUCUUCUCCCACAUAUAAAUGUAUAUAAACCAGUGCAGAAAUUAAUCAGACUUUGCGGUGAAGUUCUAACAGCACCGACAGAAAAUGAAGAAAUUCAGUUUCUCUGCAUAGUAUGUGCAAAGCUGAAACAGGAUCCAUACCUGGUCAACUUCUUUCUUGAGAACAAGUUAAAAGCAUUGGCUUCCAAAGGAUCAGCAAGCGUAAUUACAGAAGACAUGCUAAAAGGCCAAGAUUCCUUGAUGACAGACACUGGACAGUCCGUUCAACCUGAAGAAAUAUCUAAUGCUGCUGGAGCGGAGCAAAUAGAGAAGGAAGAUGAUCUAUCCACAAGUCUGGAUGAACUAAAUGUCACUUCAUCACCUGAGGCCUCAGCUAUUCGUCUAAACCAAGACUAUAAUUUAGUGAAUUCUUUGCUAAAUCUCACAAAAAGCCCAGAUGGUCGAAUAGCAGUAAAGGCAUGUGAAGGCCUCAUGCUCUUAGUGAGUUUGCCAGAGCCAGCAGCAGCCAAGUGCUUGACUCAGAGCACUUGCUUAUGUGAAUUGCUGACGGACAGGCUCACCACACUCUACAAAGCCCUGCCUCUGUCCUUGGAUCCAUUAGAUAUUGAAUCGGUUGAGGCAAUUAACUGGGGUUUGGAUUCAUAUAGCCACAAAGAAGAUGCAUCUGCUUUUCCAGGGAAAAGAGCCUUGAUUUCAUUUCUCUCCUGGUUUGACUACUGUGAUCAACUCAUUAAAGAAGCACAAAAGACUACUGCUGUUGCUAUGGCAAGAUCUGUACGGGAACGAUUUUUUGUUGGUGUCAUGGAACCCCAGCUGAUGCAAACUUCAGAGAUUGGGAUCCUUACAUCAACAGCACUGUUGCAUCGUAUUGUCCGUCAAGUCACUUCAGAUGUGUUGCUGCAAGAAAUGGUUGGCUUUAUACUUGGAGGACACAGAGAGCCAGAAACCCUGACAGACAUCAACAGACAUCCAUUGCGACACAGAUUAAUCGAGCACUGUGACCAUAUUUCUGAUGAGAUCAGCAUAAUGACUUUAAGAAUGUUUGAGCACCUUUUACAAAAACCUAAUGAGCACAUUCUUUACAACUUGGUUCUAAGAAAUUUAGAAGAAAGAAACUACACAGAAUAUAAACCACCCUGUCAGGAAGAUAAAGAUGUAGUGGAGAAUGGACAGAUAGCAGGAGCAGUAGACCUGGAAGAAGAUCCGUUAUUUACUGAUCUUUCUCCGGAUAACACAUUGUCAAAUCAAGAGUGGCUAAGUGCUUCUCCUCCCAUCAGCCCGGAACAUCCAAAAAACGAUGGGAAGACUGAAGUUCAUAAAAUUGUAAAUAGCUUUCUCUGUCUAGUACCUGAAGAAGCCAAAUCAUCAUACCAUGUAGAGGGCACAGGUUAUGAUACCUAUCUCAGAGACGCCCACAGACAAUUCCGGGAUUAUUGUUCAAUCUGUUUACGAUGGGAAUGGCCGGGGUCUCCCAAAUCUUUGGAAAAGUGCAAUUUAGAAGCAUCGUUUUUUGAAGGACAUUUCUUGAAAAUUCUGUUUGACAGAAUGGGCAGGAUUCUCGAUCAGCCAUACGAUGUAAAUUUACAAGUUACAUCAGUGUUGUCCAAACUCUCCCUGUUUCCCCAUCCACACAUCCAUGAAUACCUUUUGGAUCCCUAUGUAAAUCUGGCUUCAGGCUGUCGAUCUCUAUUCUCCGUUAUUGUCAGGGUUGUUGGAGAUCUUAUGGUGAGAAUCCAGCGCAUACCGGAUUUCACUCCCAAACUUCUGCUAGUCAGAAAGCGUCUGCUUGGAUUGGAACCUGAAGGACCCAUUAUUGACCACAUGACAUUACUGGAGGGCGUGAUUGUACUGGAAGAGUUCUGUAAAGAGCUAGCAGCGAUUGCAUUUGUGAAAUACCAUGCCUCAUCUACACCCUAAGCAGCCACUUGAAGUGACUAGGCUACAGAAUCGAGUGUUUCAGUCAAAGAAGACUAUUGAUUCCACCAGACAAGAAGGGAGAGAGCCUCCUAACAAAGAGUUGAUAUAAUUUGACAGUUGUUAUGGAUGGCAGUUGAGGGUGAGUUCUUGGUCCCUGUUCAUGAUUUCUUGGCACUCGCUGCACUCUGAUGGAGAUGUAAUCAAAUGGACGUUGAACCCAGGAUGCAAUCAAAGGGACUUCAGGGCAGACAAAACAUAACAUUUCCAGUCACUGUUUGAAGAGCUGAAAAAAAUGUCUGAAGACCACAAACUUCAGAACUUUGGUUACCAGACCAUUGUUUUAACAACAUUUUAGGUGGUAAGGAUUUUUUAUAUGCUCUGGGGCUCAUAUACUUCAAUUAUCUUUUGUGAUCGUUAUUGCUUUUUAAAAUAUCAAGCUAUUUCUCUAAUGUUUUCAUGUCAAGUUUUUUUCUCUUCAGUUGAAAAUAUGAAAGAAAAAGAGUAAAGCAGUAUGUGUAGAUACAAGUGAUACCAUCUAAAACAUUGGAGAGAGGAUGAAAAGACCUGCUAAUACAUAUAUAGUAUGAGAUGAUCCAUGUGGGAUGAAUUCUACUUUUGUGAAUCUUCUUAUAUUGUAGUGAAUUCUGGGCUGGUGAAUUCUGAUUCAUCACUGUGUUGUUCCAGUUUUAGACUGGUGUAACUCCUUAUAUUAAUGAAAUUAUAUUGCCAUAUGUUGGUGAAUCAGGGCCUGUAUGUAGACAACAAUCAUAUCCUAAGUAUGCAUGUUUCUAGUGCUGUGCUCUUUGUUAUUUCCAAAUGGUUUCUGCUGAGUUCAGCUGUGUAACUAGACUUGCCUUAGAUUUUUUUUAUGUGAGCUCCAGUUUGUUUGAUCCAUGUCAUCUUUAUAAGGAUGCUAUUAUACAGGUCAUUAAUAGUAGUUGCUAAAACUAGUAUUUUUUUAAAUGCUAUUUAACAUUGGUUUAAGAAUAUUUUGUGCCUUGAAAAUUGGCAGUGAAAAUGUUCUGUUGUUUUUAAAAUGUUUUAUUGCUUGUCUGAAUGUAACCAUAGUGUCCAGACGAAAGAGUGACUGACACCGUUUUGGGCAGCAGUAUAAGGGAUGAUUCAAUACUUAGGACCAAAAUUCUCCACUGGUUUUCACAACACUGGGAUGCAAAGAUGUUCCCCAGUUCAUUCUUUGCAACAUGAAUUCUACCAGCCAGAGCAGGAAUUUCCAUUGCAGGCCAAGGAGCAUGUACUCUAGCAUACUGUGCUACUGUUCCUCCUGAAUGACUGCAGCUAGCACUUGCUGCUGACAGCAGCAUAAGCACUAGCAGGCUGGAAGGGCUGGAUGUGCUCCUUAACCUUCAUAUCGCUCUUGGUGAUCUCUUUAGAGAGAACUGCCCACCUGUUUACACAGGAGAAUACCUUCAUAUUGACACAGUAGCACAGACAGACCAAGCAGGAUUGAGCCCUUAAUGUUCAUAUUCCAUUUCUUUGUCUUUUUUAAAAUCCUGUUGGACAGUGAGUGUCAGUUUCUGAUCUCAUUUCAGUUUAAAUCUGGAUUAAUUUAAUCAGUCAAUAGCAUUCCUCCUAAUUUCCAUGAGCGUAACUGGGAUCAGAAUCUGGCCCUCCCUGAUUUUGAUGUCUGUCUGCUUUUUUACAUUUAUGGAAUCUGGAUUUUGAACAACUCCUGAAGUUACCAGCUGCCUUGUCCAACAAAAUUGAACAUGCUCACAGUUAAUGGGCUAAAUUCACCACUUAUUCACAGCAUAAACUCCAGUGGAGGGUCCUUCUGGUGAAAAUUACAAGGUUACAGGCAGAUAGAAGUGUGGAGUACCACUCCAAAAAAGGAAGAGCAUUGCCCAAAAGUGGCUGUGGCCAGGGAGUAAGAUGAUUCAGUAGCUCCCUACUGGUCCUCCCAUCAACAGAGCUCUGGCACCUCAGCUAGAAUGAAAGAUAUUCUCAAGAGUGGGUAGUGGUAGGAACCUGGGACUCAGCAGACAUAUGCACCAGCUUUGCUGAAUGUGCCCCAAUAAUGUUUUCAUAAUAAAAUAGCUUAGUAAAAUAGAGUUUAAGAAAGGGUACUUUCUCUUCAUUCCCAUUCUUUACAUGGGUAUUUGGAAAGUAGCAAGUGAUUUUGUUUUCAUUUUGAGAAGCUUCAUUAAUAUAAUGUACCUGCCUGUACAUACAGUAUAAAAAGGUAUGUAUGUGUGUAGAUUUAUGUUUAAUGCAUACAUUUUUGAUAAUUUAGGCCCCAGUUAUGCAAAGCACUUAAGCAUGAGCAUAAAGUUAAGUAUCUACUUAAGAUCCAUUUAAAAUGAGUAUGAGUUAGGAAAACACUUGAAGUUAAGCUAGUGUUUAAGUGUUGUGCUGAACAGCAGUGGAGUUAUGCAUGGUCUUAAAUGCUUUGCUUAAUCAGGCCUUGGUUGUUUUAGGUUUUAGCUUGAGUUUAAUUACACUUGCUGCAAAAUUUAAUUCUGUUUUCAUUAUUUAUUAAAAGAAAAAAACCCUCUGAUAUUUAGAAUACUCCUAAAAUCCCAUUUGCAAUGUAAACUGUAGCAGACAUAAUGCUAUGAAAAAUGAGUGAGGAAAAAAAAAAUCCACAUUAGAGCAUUCCAAACAAUAUGAUGGUUAUAAAUCCAUGUAAGAGGUGCAAGAUCUCAGAUGGAGACAUGAACAUCAUUUAAUUUUUUUAAAUCAGUUGCUGCUAUUGGAGCUAAUUACACAGUAAGGGAUUGCAUCAGUUAGUUUAUGCAAGGAUAACUGCAGAGUCUGUAGUUUUUAAAUGCAAAAUGAUUUACCUAGCUAGAAGCCCAAUUGUUUAAUGCUUGAGUUGAACAAUAAGGUAUCACUAUAAAUAUUCUUAAAUUCAAGAUGUAAUUGUCUAGCAUUCAGUCUUCAGUGUGUUUAGUAGCCAUGGUGAUAUUUCGCAAACCAAAUAUUAUUCAGGCCACAAAUUAUAAAAAGUUGAUCCAUCUUGAUAGCAAGUGAAGCAAUGCUAGGAAAAGCUUGAGCCCUCCUGGUUUGUAUAGGUGCUGCUUACAAUUAUUACCAUAAAUUGUGACGGUGACUUUUAUUUUUGUAAAAGCAAUGGACUCUUUCUUAAGAGAUGGAAAUAGUUUAAUUUUGUUUCUUGGUUUUCAUGCACUUUUUUUUUAAAAAAAGUAAAAAUUAGUUCAGCUCCAUAUUUUUACUCAUUGAAUCUAUGCAUAUCAUUGAGUUGACCAUUGUGUGUGUGUGUGUGUGUGUGUGUGGUUAUUUAUUACCCACAAGUGGACACCUGAGAACCAUGGCCUGAUACUCAGAAGUUCAGAGCACCCACAAAUCUUUCCAGUGUCAAUGGGAACUGCAGGUGUUGAUCACCUUUGAAAAAUAUGGCUAAGAGUAUUAUUUUGAAAUAUUUGAGGGGAAAAUACUGGGAUAAUUUUGGUUAAGUAAGCAAAUUCGAAUUGCAUUUAUACCUUGAUGCACAUUUUUGUAAAUAAGUACACAUUUUUAUUUUUCUGCCAUUUAUUGUAUGUAUUGAUUUAGACUCUGAUGUAGAAACUUUUGUAAUAAGCAACAUGCUACAUCUGCUAGAACAGAAGUUUGUCCUUAGUCUAUUUCCAUUAUGAUUGUAAUCUUCCUAGUAUUCAAAUCUUGUCUGUGUAAUGUUCGUAUAAUGUAUUCAUUUGUGCAAUAUGGGAGCUGUGAUUUGAUACACAGCUUCAGUCUGGUUGUACAUCACCUAUGUAUCUAUAAGGACUGAAAUCCUGAGUUUGCUUACACUAUUGCUAGUGUAAAGAUUGUUACACUUGAUUUUACAGGGCACAAGUAAUCAUGGAAUUGCUUUGUAAAUACAUGGUAAUUCCUUGCAAUGCAUUGCUGUAUGAAUACAUGAUUACUAUUCAAUUAUGAAGUACAUCAUUAUUUGUCUUUAGAGAAAUGUUACAAUGAAGUACUAUGUAAAAUCUACAGAUAGCAUGGUAUUUCAGGUUGUAAGAUAAAUCCAAACAUAUAUAAUGUAUAUCAUACAGGUCUUUGCAACCAUGAUCACUAAUAAUAUUUUCUGUGCCCUGUAAAAUAAUUACUCUCUAUAUAUACACUUUUUUUGUUUUGCCUCCUGCCUUGUUUACAUUAAACAGAGGAUAUUCAGUAAACUUUUUUAUUGAACUUUAUGUCGGUCACUGACUGACAGUGUUGCCAAGGUUUAGCAGACAUGGGAUAUGCAACAAAGGAACUGUUGAAACAGCCACAUUUCUAUAAUUAAAGUACUAACUUUUACAAAGGAGGCGCUGAUAAAAUUCAAUUUUUGUUUAAAAAAUGCAUGCAGGAUUAAAAGGGAUAUUCUAAAAAUAAAUUAAUUUCAAUGAAGUGACUUAUUUUUUCAGAAUUCUAAAUAAGUUUUGUAUGUUUGUUUAGAGGAAGAAAAUGGUACAAAAUCAUUGAAGUGAUGAUGAUCUUGCUUGUCUUUCAUCCUGAAGGAUUUUCAAGCAUGUUACAAACUUUAUAUAAUAAUCAUGGCAGCCACAUCUGGGGUAGAACAUGUUGGAUGUUUAACAGAGUACACUACUGUUUAGGAUACAAAAUGAAGCAGUAUACUCGCUCCCACUCAAACUGGAGGUAAAAUAAAAAGACAAAAUGUAAUCACUCAGAACACAGACUAAUGCCCCCUACUCUUGAGAAAAGUCCAUUAGGAUCUUUAAAGAUUGCAGGUGGUCAGGACCCUGAUCUCAUGCCACCUCAAGAGUACAGCGUGGGUUUAUUGAUUCUGAAACACAAAUGUCACCUACCUGAAUCACUGCCAUUGCUUCUUGAAUCUUAUGAUUCCAGGCUUCCCCUGUUGUAUACUGGGUGUGUUUGUGUUCUCCUUCCUCUGAAGUCUCAGUGAAGGCCAUGGCUGGAGAAGGGACACCAAAUGGCAUGGGCCUAUAUUCUGAAGUGGUACAGAGAAUAGUAAUCUUUCUCAGAUGCCUGGCUGGUGGGUCUUGCUUAGGGUAAAAAUGAUCAGCAUUUUUGUGGUCAAGAAGGAAUUUUUCCCUAGGACAUCUUGGCAGAGACCUUGGGUGUUUUUGCUUUCCUCUGCAGUAUGGGGCAUGUAGCACCUCCUAGGAUCAUCUGGGUAUAUCUCGCCAAAUAAAUUCCCUGCCAUUGCAACAUCGCCCAACAUCAGUCCACUUCAGUCCCUUCUGUUCUCGGCCUGUGACACACAAGAGUUUGAUCUCCUGAGGGCUGUAAUACUUCAAUAUAAUGCAGUUUGCUGACUCAAUACAGGGGUAACUGGGUGAGUUUAAUGGCUGCGAUAUACAGGAGGCCAGACUAGAUAAUGUGGUGGUCCCUUCUAGCCUUGAACACUGUGCUGUUAACCUUGUCUGGCCACGUUUAGCUUCUCAGAUCUAACAAAAUCACAACCUGAGUUGGUUUGUGGUACACAUCUCCAUGCUAAUGUAUGUGGCAUUCAGUGUUUGACUCAAACAUUCCAUUGCAAUCCUGGAUUUCAGUGUCAAACUGAUGUAUUGAGGCUUCCUAGUUUUGAUGAACUAUGAACUAGUCUUCUGCCUCAAGACUUUGAGGCCUUGCAUAUUCUUUUUUUAAAGUCACAGUAGCCCACCCAAUUGCGGCCUCAAUAAUAAUAUUAACCUGUUCCAUGGAAUCUGAAUAAAACUCAGUGCGGGUAUAGUUAAUGCAGGACAUAUUGGAUUUGUUAACCUUUUAACACUUUCAGUGCUAGUGGUGUCAAAGCCUCAAGGAGUUUGGCUGAUUUGAAAUGUGAAGCAAGUGGGUUAAGGUAGAUUAAUCUUCAGAGCAUUGAGUCUGACACAAUUUGUAUGUGUUCUUUGGGCCUAGAACCAUGUGCUGCUGAUGCAUCUUUUUCCUGCUGAAGCUUUUUGUUUGAAGGAAGCUGAAGCUUUUUGUUUGACUACUUGGAACAGGAAAGCUGAAGUGCAAUUCAAAAAUCAAGUGAAGCAUAUGGUGGAUUAGAACCUUCAGGUGUCCUAAGCAUCUGGGGAGUCUCAAAAGGAAGGAAAUGGUGAAAAGCUGACUGUUACAAGUCUGGACAGAUCACUGGCCCUGCCUUCGGAGUCAGAGAUCUGUAAGGAUACACAGGUGCAGCUAACUGAAAUCUUACAGCUUGCCAUCUAUCCAAGUGGCAUGGCCCAUUCCCACUGUCCUUGGCAGGAUGGUUUUUGUGUUAUGUGGCAGAUGUGUUUUUUUUAAACUGUGUUUCAUGGAAUUGUUGCUCAUUAUUUACAAGAAAUGCUGCUGACUGUAUAAAAUUAAAUAUACUACUAUAGAAUAACAAUUAUGACAUUGGGUAUUUUUAAUGGCUCAUAACAUGUGGUCUUAUUUUGCUCCUUCUGCCUUUCUGCUCCAUGGCAUCAUAAUUAAAUGUUUUUUUUUCCCCUGGUAUAAUACACUUUCAAAGUAAAAAAUAUUAAAACUCCUGGAAACAACAAGAUGUGGCCCCUACCAAAGUACUAUGUAACAGUGUGUCACGUUGUAGGAUCCUGUAGAAAAACACAGAGCUAGUCUGCUGACUCAUCCUGGUAGCCAGAUGAGAUGGAUCUCAUUACCAUCAAACAGCUCUGAGGAAUAGAAGAGCUAGAAGAAAGGGGAAAAAAGUCCUUCAUAGUGCCCCAAAUCAGCCCACUUUGGAGUUAAGGCUUAUAUUUCUUCAUGGAAGGCCUGCAUGAAGCCCACCAGCUAAGAUCCAGACCAGUUGGCUGGAUGACAGAAGAGGGUGACAGAAACCCAGUGUUCAAAUAUGGUCAAACUUCAGCUGUCUGGAGAAAUCUGUUGAUCAAGUUAAAUGGACUUUUAUCUAUCUUUGGAGGUAAGCAAUAUUUCAGUGGGUGGUGAAAAAUUAAUACACAUAUAGACUCUAGUAAAUGAAGGCUUGUCUGUUAGAUGGCUGAAUGUCAGACUUUGAUGUAGGGAAUUGAUUUGUUUACCACUUUGCUUAUAAAAUCCCACAAUGAUAAGAUAUUUGUGGUAAACACCCUAUCCUGUCCCAGGAACUAUACUGCAGAAAUCAAUUUAUUUGAAGGGAAAAACCUCUCUCUCUCUCUCCCCACCCAAUCCUGCAGUGUUUACUGAAGAAAAUUUCUUAUUGACAUCAGUGUAGAUACUUCCCAAACUAUUGCAUCUCCAGCAUAUUUUCUUCUAAACUGUUGAAUUUUUUUUUAAAAAUUCCCUUUUUUUUCUCUUGUGCUGCAAUGUAUAUGACAGACUUGCACUGAACAAGUGUGAAUUCCUUUGUAUUUUAUAUAGGGAUGAUUUUUUUUCAAAGGGAAAAAUCUCACUUUGGGUCCACAUAAGUGGAAAUACAGAUGAAGAGCAGUGCUUACACCAAGAAAAUUACUGACUUCAUUGCUGGGGAGUCAAUCUGGUUUGAUCACAUUUAUCCCUGGUUGACUCCACUGACUUCAAUCCUGACUUCAUUGCCAAUGGAGGAAGAGCAUGGCCCAUCUUGUUUUUUGUUAUAAGGGUGAAAUUUGCCCCUGUACAGAAAACCAGCUCAGUGUCUAUGUAGCAUUUAGUGGAUGUAAGUAGGUCUUACGUGCUGCAUAGCCAUUAUGCUGGCCCUGAGAACAUGUUGUUUCUCCUCUCCCCUCCCCUCC